CGGAGCGUAGCGCAGCCUGGUAGCGCACUUGUCUGGGGGACAAGGGGUCGUGGGUUCGAAUCCCGCCGCUCCGA
Molecule: transfer RNA, 74 nt
Filed under: Oceanibaculum pacificum
Lineage: Bacteria; Pseudomonadati; Pseudomonadota; Alphaproteobacteria; Rhodospirillales; Oceanibaculaceae
Also listed under: 1 other name
Description: Rhodospirillaceae bacterium MC2UP-L3 tRNA
Rfam family: tRNA
About the family: Transfer RNA (tRNA) molecules are approximately 80 nucleotides in length. Their secondary structure includes four short double-helical elements and three loops (D, anti-codon, and T loops).
Source: Rfam by way of RNAcentral